RNAcentral lists this long non-coding RNA (274 nucleotides) under Lathyrus oleraceus (garden pea). RNAcentral describes it as "Pisum sativum (pea) long non-coding RNA (PSAT_LNC036800)". The record is from RNAcentral. Lineage: Eukaryota; Viridiplantae; Streptophyta; Magnoliopsida; Fabales; Fabaceae.
UUUAGGACCUAGCCCUUCUCUUCUUCUCUCCACUCUAACCCAAGUCAAACUUAUUUUAUGUGAACAUUGACAUUGUUUUCAAAAUUAGAAACCUAGGCACCAUGUAACACCCCUUUUUCUACCCCAAAAUACUUAACAUAUAAUCAGAGUAAAUAAGCACACAUAUAAACAAAAGGGCGUCACAUCGACGUUUUCAAAAACUAAAAGCUUUCAAAAACCAACGUCAUUUAUCAUCAAUAUACAAUACACCUGGUCAUUUAAGAUAACACAUUUC